This 402-nucleotide ribosomal RNA is filed under the name uncultured soil bacterium. RNAcentral describes it as "bacterial SSU rRNA". It matches the Rfam family "Bacterial small subunit ribosomal RNA", at positions 26 to 456 of the family's 1533-position model. The record is from RNAcentral.
AGAACGAACGCUGGCGGCAUGCCUAACACAUGCAAGUCGAACGAGACCUUCGGGUCUAGUGGCGCACGGGUGCGUAACGCGUGGGAAUCUGCCCUUGGGUUCGGAAUAACAGCGAGAAAUUGCUGCUAAUACCGGAUGAUGACGUAAGUCCAAAGAUUUAUCGCCCAAGGAUGAGCCCGCGUAGGAUUAGCUUGUUGGUGAGGUAAGAGCUCACCAAGGCGACGAUCCUUAGCUGGUCUGAGAGGAUGAUCAGCCACACUGGGACUGAGACACGGCCCAGACUCCUACGGGAGGCAGCAGUGGGAAUAUGGACAAUGGGACGAAAGCGUGAUCCAGCAAUGCCGCGUGAGUGAUGAGGUCCUUAGGGUUGUAAAGUCUUCGUUUUACCGGAUGAUAAGUGAC